RNAcentral lists this long non-coding RNA (4650 nucleotides) under Capsicum annuum. Its description in RNAcentral is "long non-coding RNA (CANN_LNC021709)". The record is from RNAcentral. Lineage: Eukaryota; Viridiplantae; Streptophyta; Magnoliopsida; Solanales; Solanaceae.
UGUGAAGAAAAUAACGAAAUGGUCCUUGUUUAUGACCACAUGGCACAUGGAACACUAAGGGAACAUCUUUAUAAAGGUAACAAAAUUACAUUAACUUGGAAGCAAAGGUUGGAUAUCUGUAUCGGCGCAGCUAGAGGACUUCAUUACCUUCACACGGGAUCUAAAUACACCAUUAUUCAUCGGGAUGUGAAAAGUACAAACAUUCUAUUAAAUGACCAGUGGGUAGCUAAGGUUUCAGAUUUUGGACUUUCGAAAACAGGUCCAAACAUGAACCAAGGACAUGUUACAACAGUCGUAAAAGGUAGCUUUGGGUAUUUGGACCCCGAAUACUUCAGAAGACAACAGUUAACUGAAAAAUCAGACGUGUACUCGUUUGGGGUUGUCCUAUUUGAAGUAUUGUGUGCCAGGCCAGCGCUUAACGCGAACCUUCCAAAGGAACAAGUCAGCCUAGCAGAUUGGGCGUUAGUUUGUCAAAGGAAAGGGAAUUUAGAAGAUAUUAUCGAUCCACAGUUGAAAGGAAAGAUCAAUCCUGAAUGCUUGAAGAAAUUUGCAGAAACAGCAGAGAAAUGCUUAGCUGAUAACGGUAUAGACCGUCCAUCCAUGGGCGAUGUCUUAUGGAAUCUUGAAUACGCGCUGCAGUUAGAAGAGAAUCCAGAUGGGGUCUUAGCAACUUCCGAGUCAACGAAAGAAGUGGAUCAUGGCAGUGCUGAAGAAGUAUCUCAACACAAUUUGAUAGCUAUGCAUAGAAGCACUUUGAGCCUUGAAAGUGAUAAAGGUGAUAACAACACAGAUGACGUAUUUUCGCAGAUUGUAAAUCCAACGGGAAGGUAAUAACAUCACAUAGGCUCCUCUUUCUUAUCAUCGAUCUGUUAUGAUGAGAGUAAGAAUUUGUACAAAUAUAUUAAAUACCAUCUGUAUCUACUAUAUAAGGAAAAUCAUAGCAUGUCAUUGAAUAAUGCUGCAAUAGACAGCCAUUUUUGUAACUCUCUUCAUUCCGAUUAAUAUGACACUUACCUUAUUUGGAUUGAAUCCCCGCCUUUCAUCCACUGCUCAUCGCCAAGUUAUAUAAUGUUUUCCAUUUAGUUCACCUGUGUCAGCUCGUUCACAUCGCUGUCCAAAGCAUAGAUAAAGGAGGAGGGUUGCUGAGGGUCAAAUCGGAAGCAACCUCUCUACCCAUCGCGGUAAGAUUGAGUACAUCUUACCGUCCUCGAGAUAUAACUCAGAAUUAACAUGCCAAUAGUUCUAAAGUUUGAUGACUUUAUUCACCAUAUACAAAAACAAUAAUUAUUUUCAUUGAAAAUUUCUUCUAUAUUUUGGGAUUUACAUAACUUUGUUCAUUUAUUUCAUUUAAAAAUAUUAACAAAUAUAGCAUCCCUACAGACCUUUUGUUGUAAGUUUGCAUGUCUACCAUGAAAUGUGAAUUUCUAACAGCAAACUCUGAAUAGCAAAGAUUGAAGAGCUAAGCAAAAACAUCACACAACAGUAGUAAUUGUGAUAGACAGAAAAGGCAUCCCUGUGCACUAAACCUCCUGUAUGUGCAGGGUUUGAGGAAGGGUCCCACCACAAUGGUGUAUUGUACGCAGCCUUAACUUACAUUUUUACAAGAGGCUGUUUCCAAGGUUUGAACCUGUGACCUCCUGGUGAUACGGCAACAACUUUACCAGUAAUUCUCUGUGAUAAGUUUUCGAAAAUGUAGCAAUUGAUUUUUCGUUAAGAAUAAAGCCUGAGAUAUCGUUAAGAUUGUUGGAAGUAUUAUGAAAAAUACUUCAUCACGAACAUUUAUAAGGAAUUCUCAUAGUUUGAGGCGUGUCAAAGAUACUAUCGUUAAGAAUAUUUUACGCGGUUAUGUGUAUAUCCCCAGGUUUCAACAAACUUUUCUAGUAUAAAACUCGGGAAAAAGGUUCAAAAUAUAUCUAAACCUUGGCGAAAUUUGUUGUUACACACCUCAACUUUGACCCUCCUCGACUAUAUAUUACCGUAUUUAUAUGCCCAGCUGGACCACUGGUGAAUACACGCGCACUGGCGCGUAAGGAUCUGAAGUGGAUUGAUGCCUAUUGGUAAAAGGAUCAAUGGUUAAGGAUUAAUACCUAUUAAAAAGGAUGAAUAACAAGGAAGAGAAAAAGAUCUUUUACCAUAUUAGUCAAAAGUAAUGUAUGGCAAAUGAAGUUUUCACCAUAAUAAUUGUUAUAAUAUUUGUAAAUUUGCUUCCAUUGAUGUGUGUUGAAUACCAUUUACACUUUUCACUCCUAACCAUUCAUCAGAGUGAGUGGUGUGUGUUGAAUGAAAGCAAAAAAGAUGUAAACAAAAGAAGAAAAAUUAAAGAAUGUGAAAAACAUUACACAGUUUUUUCGAUUUGAUGGUUUGUUGUAAGGCAUCCUAUAUCGAUAAAUGAUUUAAACCUCUUUCAACGAUGGAUGCAUAGAAGGCAAGAAAUGAUCUGGUCUUCGCCAUAAAUCAAACACAAAAGAAUCUGUCGUUUUCAUUUUUUUUGCCUCAAGGCGUACAGAAAACAUUGUUUUCUUGUACGCCUUCUUUUUUUGUUAACACAAUGUUAACAGAAAUCCGCAUUUUGCUACUAUUCAUAUGUGUUUCUUCAAGUUGGCGCGUCCUGCAUGCUGCUGUGACAGGUGAUAAAAAUUCAUUGUUCUUAGCAUGUGGUUCUCAAAACGGUGGAACAGAUGGAGAUAACAGGAAAUGGGAUUCGGAUACGAAGUAUCUUGUAUCAGGUGAUAAAUCAGUCAUGACACAACCUCAAUCCAAUGAUCCUUCUGUUCCGUCUGUUGUACCGUAUGCAAAUGCAAGAUUUUUUCAAUCAGAAACUUCAUAUAAUCUUCCGGUUACAAACCAAACAUCGCGUAUUUUGCUCAGGCUUCAUUUUUACCCGACUCCUUAUCCUAAUUUCAACGUUUCCAAUUCAUACCUCUCUCUUUCCGUUGGUCAAGUUGAAUUGUUGACUAAUUUUAGCGCGUAUAUAACUGCACAAGCGUUGUCACAAAAUUACAUUAUUAAAGAGUACCUUUUGACUCCUGUGAGUUCUCCAACUUUGGAGAUCAAAAUUACGCCUUUUGGUAAUUCGUCGCUUGCAUUCAUCAGUGGAAUCGAAAUGAUCAACUCGCCUGAUUUGUUUUUCGGCCCUGAUCCUGUGAUGGCUGGAUUCAGUUCUAAUGACGGAGCUAAUUCUGGAGAUGUUGUUUCUCAGCAGACUAUAUCUGUCAAGGAAAAUAAUAUGGAGUUGAUGUAUAGGGUCAACGUUGGCGGACAAUUUAUUCCUCCGAAAAAUGAUUCAGGAGGGUUAAUGAGGAGUUGGUAUGACGAUACUCCCUUCGUGUAUGGCGGUUCAGGAGUUGGCAUUGCUAUGACUAGCAACAUGACGAUUCGUUAUGAUGACUUGCCAUCGUACGUUGCACCACUUGCUGUAUACCAGACUUGCAGAUCGAUGGGUUUUGAGUCGAAUGUCAACAAGAAUUAUAACCUUACUUGGGUUUUCAAUGUUGAUGCAAACUUUACAUAUGUCGUGAGGUUUCACUGGUGCGAUUUCAUCGUUGAUUCCAUGAAGAUCAAUUCCUUGGUCUUUAAGGUAUAUAUCAAUGGACAAAUUGCGGAAAGUGAAAUAGAUUUAGUCGCGAUGGAACAUGGGAAGAAGGCUACUCCUUUAGUAAGAGAUUAUGUGACUCGUGUUGACGAUAAAAAAGGAGAUGAUCUGCUGUGGAUAUCAGUGCAUCCAGCAGGAGCUAGUGCUACUUUAGUUAAUGCUAUCGUAAAUGGACUAGAGAUAUUUAAGAUCGGUGGAGGAACUACGAGCUUGGCGGGUAAGAAUCCUACAAUGUCAGACUUAAUGAAGAAGUAUCAGGAAGAACAAAGUAAACAAGAACCUCCGGGGAAAUUCGCUGAUCAGGACAAAUCGUCAAAUAGUAAUACUGUUAUAAUCAGUAGUGCUGCUGGCGGAGUUGCUGCAUUCGGUGUAGCUGCUGUUUUGGUCAUUGUUGCUUUGAAGAGGAAAAAGAGAUCUGCGGGAGCUGAAUCAGGCACGAAUAGUUGGCUACCGAUUUAUGGGAACUCUCAUACUUCCGCUAGCAAAUCAGGUGGUGGUAGCACGACCAUUUCAUCAGAUGCUGCUAGUAACUGUCGAUACUUUUCACUCGCUGAGAUCAAACAAGCUACUAAAAACUUCGACGAAUCAAAUGUCAUUGGAGUUGGUGGAUUUGGAAAGGUGUACAAAGGCGUUAUCGAUGGUGACACAAAAGUUGCAAUCAAAAGAUCAAACCCGUCUUCAGAACAAGGUGUCAAUGAAUUCCAGACUGAAAUCGAGAUGCUUUCAAAGCUAAGGCAUCGACACUUGGUGUCCUUGAUCGGAUUUUGUGAAGAAAAUCGUGAAAUGGUCCUUGUUUACGACUACAUGUCACACGGAACAUUAAGGGAACAUCUUUAUAAAGGUAACAAAACUAUACUAUCUUGGAAGCAAAGGUUGGACAUCUGUAUCGGCGCAGCCAGAGGACUUCAUUACCUUCACACAGGAGCUAAAUACACCAUUAUUCAUCGGGAUGUGAAAAGUACAAACAUUUUGUUGAACGACAAGUGGGUAGCUAAGGUUUCAGAUUUUGGACUUUCGAAAACCGGUCCAAACAUGAACCAAGGACAUGUUACAACAGU